Molecule: non-coding RNA, 30 nt
Filed under: Homo sapiens (human)
Lineage: Eukaryota; Metazoa; Chordata; Mammalia; Primates; Hominidae
Source: RNAcentral
UCACGCACCUUGGUCUGUUGCUUCUAGAGU